AUUGAACGCUGGCGGCAGGCCUAAUACAUGCAAGUCGAGCGGAUGAAGGGGGCUCUCUCCUGGAUUCAGCGGCCGACGGGUGAGUAAUUCACAGGUAUCUGCCCGGCAGUGGGGGAUAGCGUACGGUAAGGGGCCCUGAUACCGUACCCGAUCUGAGGGUGAAAGUGGGGGUUCUUCGGUCAUCACGCUAUUUGCUGAGCCGAGGUCGGAUUAGCUAGUGGGGGGGGAAAAGGCCUACCAAGACGACGAUCCGUAACUUGUCUGAGAGGAUGAUCAGUCACACUGGAACGGAGACACGGUCCAGACUCCUACGGGAGGCAGCAGUGGGGAAUUUUGGACAAAGGGCGAAGGCCUGAUGCAGAAAUGCCGGGUGGUUGAGGAAGGUCUUCGGAUGGUAAAGCACGUUAAGUGGGGAGGAAGGUGAGUAAGGUAAAACCUUGAUGUUUUGACGUUACCAACAGAGAAAGCAACGGCUAACUACGUG
RNAcentral lists this ribosomal RNA (484 nucleotides) under uncultured bacterium. Its description in RNAcentral is "partial 16S ribosomal RNA". It matches the Rfam family "Bacterial small subunit ribosomal RNA", at positions 30 to 507 of the family's 1533-position model. The record is from RNAcentral.